UACGUAGGUGGCAAGCGUUGUUCGGAAUUACUGGGCGUAAAGCGCGCGCAGGCGGUUCUCCAAGUCAGUGGUGAAAGCCCGGAGCUCAACUCCGGAACUGCCAUUGAAACUGUUGAACUUGAGGACGAGAGAGGUGAGUGGAAUUCCCAGUGUAGAGGUGAAAUUCGUAGAUAUUGGGAAGAACACCAGUGGCGAAGGCGGCUCACUGGCUCGUAUCUGACGCUCAGGCGCGAUAGCGUGGGGAUCAAACAGG
Molecule: ribosomal RNA, 253 nt
Filed under: uncultured bacterium
Lineage: Bacteria
Description: partial 16S ribosomal RNA
Rfam family: Bacterial small subunit ribosomal RNA
Source: RNAcentral